GUUGAAAUACCAGUGCCCAUACAAUCACUGAAGUUAAGCAACAUUGAGUCAAGUCAUUACCUAGUUGGGUGACUGCUUGGGAAUACCAGAUGCUGUAAG
Molecule: non-coding RNA, 99 nt
Organism: Acanthosepion pharaonis
Lineage: Eukaryota; Metazoa; Mollusca; Cephalopoda; Sepiida; Sepiidae
Source: the annotation of a GenBank genome assembly